This 399-nucleotide ribosomal RNA is filed under the name uncultured bacterium. RNAcentral describes it as "bacterial SSU rRNA". It matches the Rfam family "Bacterial small subunit ribosomal RNA", at positions 28 to 419 of the family's 1533-position model. The record is from RNAcentral.
GACGAACGCUGGCGGCGUGCUUAACACAUGCAAGUCGAGCGGGAUCCAACCGGUGGCAACACCGGGGAAGAUCUAGCGGCGAACGGGUGAGUAACACGUGAGCAACCUGCCCCGAAGACUGGGAUAACACCGGGAAACCGGUGCUAAUACCGGAUGUCGUCAUUAGGCCGCAUGACCUGAUGAUGAAAGGAUUCAUCGCUUCGGGAGGGGCUCGCGGGCUAUCAGCUUGGGUGGGGUAACGGCCUACCAAGGCGACGACGGCUAGCCUGGUCUGAGAGGACGACCAGCCACACUGGGACUGAGACACGGCCCAGACUCCUACGGGAGGCAGCAGUGGGGAAUCUUGCGCAAUGGGCGAAAGCCUGACGCAGCAACGCCGCGUGGGGGAUGAAUGCCUUC